CGCACUUUUUGGGGUCAACAGCAAUAUUUUUUAAAGAGGAGAGAAUGAAGUGGGGUGUGACAAAAUAAAUGGAAUUUCAUAAAAAGCACAAUGGACACUACUACGAGUAAAAGAAUGAAGCAAAAAAUACAUGGACGAGAGCUACCGUUAAUUUGCUUUCCUUGAAUUCAUCAACCCCGUACCGUUCAGAUUUGUAAUUCGGUGGCGCUAAGGAAGAGUUUGCCAUUUAUGGUGGAAUUUCUGGUGGAAUUUGAGUGCAAUAUAGAUUUAAAGAGUAGGGAUUUCUUCAAAAUGCCCAAAUAUACAGCCCUUUUAUGUAAAUUGAAGAAAAAGAGAACGCUUAAAUUAAGUGGGAUGUGGAUUCGAAGAUCCAUGAUUUCUUCAAAAUGCUCAAAUAUAUAGCCCUUUAGUGUAAAUUUUACAAAAAAAUGAAUGCUUAACUUGAAAGGGAUUUGGAUUUGAAAAGUAGAAAUUUCUUCCACAUUCUCAAGUUAAUAGAAAAUUCAUAGUAUUGGGAAAUUCAAAGACAAAAAAAAAGCACUUGUUGCAGUUGGAAGUUUUAGAUCGAGGGUUUACCCCAGAAAUGCAAGUUCGUUCGGUGGCUAGACAGUGAUGCUGUGGGUGUUGGAGG
RNAcentral lists this long non-coding RNA (631 nucleotides) under Olea europaea subsp. europaea. The record is from RNAcentral. Lineage: Eukaryota; Viridiplantae; Streptophyta; Magnoliopsida; Lamiales; Oleaceae.